UGGGGAAUAUUGGACAAUGGGCGCAAGCCUUAUUCAGCCAUGCCGCGUGAGUGGAGAAGGCCUUCGGGUUGUAAAGCUCUUUUAGUCGGAAAGAAAGAGUUGCAAUGAAUAAUUGUGAUUUAUGACGGUACCGACAGAAAAAGCACCGGCUAACUACGUGCCAGCAGCCGCGGUAAUACGUAGGGUGCGAGCGUUAAUCGGAAUUACUGGGCGUAAAGGGUGCGCAGGCGGUCUUGCAAGUCAGAUGUGAAAGCCCCGGGCUUAACCUGGGAAUUGCGUUUGAAACUACAAGACUAGAGUGCAGCAGAGGGGAGUGGAAUUCCAUGUGUAGCAGUGAAAUGCGUAGAGAUGUGGAAGAACACCGAUGGCGAAGGCAGCUCCCUGGGUUGACACUGACGCUCAUGCACGAAAGCGUGGGGAGCAAACA
RNAcentral lists this ribosomal RNA (427 nucleotides) under uncultured beta proteobacterium. Its description in RNAcentral is "bacterial SSU rRNA". It matches the Rfam family "Bacterial small subunit ribosomal RNA", at positions 355 to 774 of the family's 1533-position model. The record is from RNAcentral. Lineage: Bacteria; Pseudomonadati; Pseudomonadota; Betaproteobacteria.